Small nuclear RNA from Talpa occidentalis (Iberian mole), 182 nucleotides. RefSeq annotates it as U2 spliceosomal RNA. NCBI's taxonomy places the organism in Eukaryota, Metazoa, Chordata, Mammalia, Eulipotyphla, Talpidae. The transcript has a single exon. The record is from RefSeq and is a predicted model, not a curated record.
AUUACUUUUCAGUCUUCUGGCUAAGAUCAAGUGUAUUACCUUCUUAUCAGUCUAAUAUCUGAUAUGCUCUUUAAUCCAUAUAUUAAAUGGAUUUUUGGAGAAGGGAGAUGAAUAGGAGCUUGCUCCAUCCAUUUCACACAUAGACCUGGUAUUACAAUAACUGCAGGAAUAGUGCGCCCCAC